RNAcentral lists this non-coding RNA (937 nucleotides) under Pan troglodytes (chimpanzee). The record is from RNAcentral. Lineage: Eukaryota; Metazoa; Chordata; Mammalia; Primates; Hominidae.
GUGUUAAAACAUAACCAAACACUCCAGGACCUUGGGAAAGAAAUCUGUAUCAGACAUGUGGGCUUCAUUAAGGGAAAUGCCUUCAGAAGAUUAUUUUUCCAUGUUAUGAGAAAAAAUCUCAACAACCACAGCAGAUGUUCCAGUGCCCAGGUGACCUAGAAGCUUCAUGUGGAGGUGAUGGAACUUCAGUAGGCCUGGAAGUGAAGCAGUAUCUUCUGCCCUCAAUCUUGAGAUGAAUGUUUUCUCAGUAUCCUAUGCUGAAAACAGGUAGAUACUAAUAUCGAUCUUCAAGGGAGGGCUGUUGAGUUUUGAAUAAGACAAAAACAUGGAAGCAAUCAGCACCAUGCUGGAGAGCCUUUAUAUAACCAAAGAUAUUUUUGGACCAUGAAUUCGGAAAUUCUCGGAGCCACCCAUCAGUGCCUGAGCUUCAGUGAGUCCAUAUCCCAUGUCACCCACGGCAAAGGAGAAUCUAAGACUUCUGAAGAGUUUCUUGCUUCUUUCCUGUGGGGCAGUGACUCCACUUCCCAGCAGUAAUGGAAUAUCCUGAAUUAGCUACAUUAAUGUUAGAACCAUUUGGACCUCACCCAGGACUUCAACUACAUUAUGAGUAACUCCUGGACGAUUGGCACAGAAGGCACAAGGCAAAUACCUAUCUCUGUACACCCUGUGCUACUGUGUCAUGUGCUGCUCCAGGCAACUCCAAUGGAUUGGCCACCCUGGCCAAUGUGUUCUAGUAUGUUAGGUUUAUGUUCCCCUGCUUUCUACAAUCCUGUUCAAAGAGUUGCUGACUUAACCACAGAGAGGAUUCCAGAACAUGAGACACAGAAUAAACUUGAGCAAUCAUAGUCCAUCCACUUCAUUUUCUCAUCAAAAACCAAAGGUCCAGUGAAGCUCUGGAACUCAACGCUGUAAAGGAGCGAAGGAGCUUCUAUACAGA